Molecule: small nucleolar RNA, 97 nt
Organism: Alosa alosa (allis shad)
Lineage: Eukaryota; Metazoa; Chordata; Actinopteri; Clupeiformes; Clupeidae
Product: small nucleolar RNA U13
Exons: 1
Source: RefSeq, a predicted model, not a curated record
AUCCUUCUAGGUCAUACACGUGAUGAUUGGUCGAUCCACGAUGUUUUCGUGAAAUGUGCAGCCUUCUUGUUACGCUUGGCACACGACCCUUCUGAUU